This 1978-nucleotide long non-coding RNA is filed under the name Solanum tuberosum (potato). RNAcentral's name for it is "long non-coding RNA (STUB_LNC009744)". Lineage: Eukaryota; Viridiplantae; Streptophyta; Magnoliopsida; Solanales; Solanaceae. The record is from RNAcentral.
UCUUCCUCUCCUCUCUGUUAGACUGCCAAUCCUCCACCCUUCUUUGCUCCAGAUCGCCGCCUCCGGCGAGACGAAUAGCCGCUAGUCAGAGGCAGCGCCGCCCACUCCCUCCUCCUCAUCUUCUCUUCCUCCCCUCUUCACUCUCCUUUUUCAAACAAAGCAAGCAGCGAAGGCUGCUGUCUGACCGGAAGCUCCAAGACGCAAGCCACCAACGAGCUCCAUGAACACCAACAACAAUAGCCAGGCGAGGCCACAUCGAGCAGCAGCUCCAGUCAGUGAGAACAACCAGCGAGCUCCGAAGCAGCGCCAUAACCAGCGAGACAACAGCUCCAGCCGGCGAGAAACAUCAACAAGGUAGCGGCUCCAGCGAGCCCUGCUCCUUUCUUCUCUCUUAUUUCCAGCCAGCCACUCCAGCAGACAAGCAUGGUGAAAUAAUGAUAAUGGAGUUUGCUCGCACCUCAUCGCUUCAUUGGUUUUAAAACGGAUCUCAAUAGAUCCGCCCAGUUUAGUUUCUCUUUUAAAAUUUUCCAUUAUAGAUGCGUAAUUUGUCUAAUCUUAUGCAUGUUCUAGAUAGAUUUCGUUAUGAGCAUGAAACUAAUCAUGAUUUGCCGAUCUUAUGGACUAUUUUUUGUUGAUUUUCUGAACUCCGGAAGCAUGUGUAUUUUAACUUUAUCAAAAUGUCAUUCUAUUCUGAUUUGAUUUAAGUUUGAUGUAUGUUUUCUAAGCACGAUUUUGGUGUUGAUAUGCCGUUGAAUUUUUAAUAUUUGCUGAUACUUGGUUCAAUUUGUUAAGAUUUGAUGUGACAAUUGAUAAAUUCUCUUUGAUUUGGCUGUUGUCCUAUUUAAGUUUGAUUAUUUUCCUUCCGUCAGGAUAUUUCUUUAUGAAUUAAAUUAUGAUCUUUAAUAUCUUCUGCUGAUGUAUAAUUAUUAGCAGGUUUUCUUCCUCCUUAUCUAGUUAUGAUAAAAUUUAUUAGAACAAAUAAGUAUUGUUACUUGAUUUGAGCUAUUAUGAUAUUGUCCUUCCUUAAAUAAUAAAUUGAUCCCUUUCAGCUAAUGAUGUGUUUGUUAGUUAACGGAUUUUAGGUGCCUUAUUCAUGUUUAGACAGAUUGUUACUUGUUUAUAUUUGGUAAAAAAAUAAAUUACUAACAAUGUGAUUUGGCUCUCCUUUGAAAUAGGGAAAAUGUUAUAUUAAUUGAUUCCUUAAAAUAUUUAUUUCCCUUAUAUGUACCCUUCUUCUAAUAUAUAAAUAUGACCCCUCCCUUCAUUGCUCACACACUCUCACAUCGGAACAUUUGGCUUACACUCUAAAAAAAAGACUAAAAAAUAUAUUGCUCUCUACACUAGAUAAAAAAAAAAUCAAGUUUUUCCGGUAAACGUCAAAGCUCCUCUCUACUUGCUAUUUUGUUGUGUUCGGGUCAGUUAUUGGAUUAAGUGUGGAUCUUCAUUGCUGUUUUCUUUUACUGCAUAACUGGUUAGUAUCCUUUAUACAUGUUUAAUUUAUGUUCUGCAUCGUCUUAGUUAUCUUAAGUCCAAAAUUGGGUAUUAAUAAAUAAAAAAAAGCAUCCAGGUCAAUUUUCUUCUCCCCUAUUAUGUGUGAUAUUAUAUUUUUCUUGAAUGAAUUGUUUGUUCGAAUCUAGUGUGUAUUCUCUGAGCUAUUCUGUAAUUAGUUUGUUGUACUAUCCAUUCACUCUUCCACUUUGGUUUAGCAGGUUGAAUUUAGUUCUGGGAGCUUGAAGAGUUGCCUGGGAUGGGUCAUUGGGAUAAGAUUUUUUUAAUAAUAUUUGUAUUUGUUAUUAUGGUUCUGUAAUAUUUUUUGUUGUAAACUCUAACUCUCUCUCUAUAUAUAUAUGAAUAACUUGGGGAUCGUCUAAAGGAGAGGAGGGGAAUUACGUGCUAACUAUUUAGUUAUUUACUUCAUUUUAUUUACGUGUGAUUGUUUAAAAGUCUGCAUUGGUUGAUCACACAAAGCCUUGUGAGC